CCUACGGGUGGCUGCAGUGGGGGAUAUUGGACAAUGGGGGGAACCCUGAUCCAGCGACGCCGCGUGAGUGAAGAAGUAUUUCGGUAUGUAAAGCUCUGUCAGCAGGGAAGAAAGAAAUGACGGUACCUGACCAAGAAGCCCCGGCUAACUACGUGCCAGCAGCCGCGGUAAUACGUAGGGGGCAAGCGUUAUCCGGAAUUACUGGGUGUAAAGGGAGCGUAGACGGUUAAGUAAGUCUGGAGUGAAAGGCCGGGGCUCAACCCCGGGACUGCUCUGGAAACUAUUUAACUUGAGUGCAGGAGAGGUAAGCGGAAUUGCUAGUGUAGCGGUGAAAUGCGUAGAGAUUAGGAGGAACACCAGUGGCGAAGGCGGCUUACUGGACUGUAACUGACGUUGAGGCUCGAAAGCGUGGGGAGCAAACAGGAUUAGAUACCCGUGUAGUC
RNAcentral lists this ribosomal RNA (443 nucleotides) under uncultured bacterium. RNAcentral's name for it is "partial 16S ribosomal RNA". It matches the Rfam family "Bacterial small subunit ribosomal RNA", at positions 338 to 795 of the family's 1533-position model. The record is from RNAcentral.